RNAcentral lists this ribosomal RNA (1465 nucleotides) under uncultured Bordetella sp. RNAcentral describes it as "partial 16S-23S ribosomal RNA intergenic spacer". It matches the Rfam family "Bacterial small subunit ribosomal RNA". Lineage: Bacteria; Pseudomonadati; Pseudomonadota; Betaproteobacteria; Burkholderiales; Alcaligenaceae. The record is from RNAcentral.
GGUUCGAUCCUGGCUCAGAUUGAACGCUGGCGGGAUGCUUUACACAUGCAAGUCGAACGGCAGCACGGACUUCGGUCUGCGGCGAGCGGCGAACGGGUGAGUAAUGAUCGGAACGUGCCUAGUAGCGGGGGAUAACUUACGCGAAAGCGUAGCUAAUACCGCAUACGGCCCUUCGGGGGAAAGCGGGGACCUUCGGGCCUCGCACUAUUAGAGCGGCCGAUAUCGGAUUAGCUAGUUGCGGGGUAACGGCUCACCAAGGCGACGAUCCGUAGCUGGUUUGAGAGGACGACCGCCAGCCACACUGGGACUGAGACACGGGCCCAGACUCCUACGGAGGCAGUGGGGAAUUUUGGACAAUGGGGAAACUCCUGAUCCAGCCAUCUCCGCGUGUGCGAUGAAGGCCUUCGGGCUGUGAGCACUUUUGGCAGGAAAGAAACGGCAUCGAUAAUACCCCGUGCAACUGACGGUACCUGCAGAAUAAGCACCGCUAACUACGCGCCAGCAGCCGCGGUAAUACGUAGGGUGCAAGCGUUAAUCGGAAUUACUGGGCGUAAAGCGUAUGCAGGCGGUUCGGAAAGAAAGAUGAAAUCCAGAGCUGAACUUUGAACCGGCAUUUUUAACUACCGAGCUGGAGGUGCCAGAGGGAGGUGGAAUUCCGCGUAGCAGUGAAAUGUGAUAGCGUGAGGAACACCGAUGGCGAAGGCAGCCUCCUGGGGAUAACACUGACGCUCAUGCACGAAAGCGUGGGAGCAAACAGGAUUAGAUACCCGGUAGUCCACGCCCUAAACGAUGUCAACUAGCUGUUGGGGCCUUCGGCCUUGGUAGCGCAGCGAAUAUGCAGUUGAAUCGCCUGGCACUGUCGCAAGAUUAAAACUCAAAGGAAUUGACGGGGACCCGCACAAGCGGUGGAUGAUGUGGAUUAAUUCGAUGCAACACGAAAAACCUUACCUACCCUUGACAUGUCUGAAUCCCGAAGAGAUUUGGGAGUGCUCGCAAGAGAACCGGAACACAGGUGCUGCAUGGCUGUCGUCAGCUCGUGUCGUGAGAUGUUGGGUUAAGUCCCGCAACGCUGCAGCAAACUCCUUGUCAUUAGUUGUUAUUGAAAGGGCACUCUAAUGAGACUGCCGGUGACAAACCGGAGGAAGGUGGGGAUGACGUCAAGUCCUCAUGGCCCUUAUGGGUAGGGCUUGCCGUCACAAUGGUCGGGACAGGUCGCCAACUCCGCGAGGGGGAGCCAAUCCCAGAAACCCGAUCGUAGUCCGGAUCGCAGUCUGCAACUCGACUGCGUGAAGUCGGAAUCGCUAGUAAUCGCGGAUCAGCAUGUCGCGGUGAAUACGUUCCUGGGUCUGUACACACUGCCCGUCACACCAUGGGAGUGGGUUUUACCAGAAGUAGUUAGCCUAACCGUAAGGAGGGCGAUUACCACGGUAGGAUUCAUGACUGGGGUGAAGUCGUAACAAGGUAA